RNAcentral lists this ribosomal RNA (253 nucleotides) under uncultured bacterium. RNAcentral describes it as "partial 16S ribosomal RNA". It matches the Rfam family "Bacterial small subunit ribosomal RNA", at positions 524 to 776 of the family's 1533-position model. The record is from RNAcentral.
UACAUAGGUGGCAAGCGUUGUUCGGAAUUACUGGGCGUAAAGGGCGCGUAGGCGGUCGCCUAAGUCGGACGUGAAAUCCCUCAGCUCAACUGGGGAACUGCGUCUGAGACUGGCCGGCUUGAGUGCAGGAGAGGAACGCGGAAUUCCAGGUGUAGCGGUGAAAUGCGUAGAUAUCUGGAGGAACACCGGUGGCGAAGGCGGCGUUCUGGACUGCUACUGACACUGAGGAACGAAAGCCAGGGGAGCAAACGGG